Molecule: non-coding RNA, 362 nt
Organism: Pelobates cultripes (western spadefoot toad)
Lineage: Eukaryota; Metazoa; Chordata; Amphibia; Anura; Pelobatidae
Source: the annotation of a GenBank genome assembly
AAAAGGAACAAAGUUUAAAUAUAUCCAAAGAGAAAAAAUAUAUAUGAAAAGGGGAAAAAAGUUACAAAAUAUUAAAAUAAAUCAAAACAGUAAGGAGAAAUAAUUUGGUUUUUUUAAAAAGGGUAAAGUAAAAACAAAAAAAAAACAAAAAAAAAAAACACAAAAUACAAACAAAACAAAACCCAAAAAGAGAGAAAAAUAAAUAAAAAUACAAAUACUAAAAUUUAAACCUGCUUUUCUUUUCCACUUGGUAUUAACUAAUACCAACCACAGUCCACCAGUUCACCAACAAACUCCUGUUGUUUUAACUCCUACUUAAAAGAGACUACUUUAAAUAGCCUACUUUCAAGCAAACUCCAGUG